AUGCCACGUGAAGGAGUCGGUGAUGUCGACAGGGUCCGCGGCUUCGUCCUUCAUGGUACCGGCUCGUCGAGGUGGGCGAAGGGUGUGACGGGUGAUUUGAACGCCGGGAGGCAUCGUGGCGAGCACCAUGUCGUGGUCCUCGGCGUGAUGAAAUGGAGGCACCAUCUUGACGAUAUUGACGGUGGGCGGCGCCGUGGCGUGCCCUGUGUCAUUGUGUUCCGCGGCACCGUGUGA
This 234-nucleotide ribosomal RNA is filed under the name Triticum aestivum (bread wheat). Its description in RNAcentral is "partial small subunit ribosomal RNA". The record is from RNAcentral. Lineage: Eukaryota; Viridiplantae; Streptophyta; Magnoliopsida; Poales; Poaceae.